GAAGUUUACCAUGUCAGGUUUACCUGGUUCUAUCACAGGUACAUUCCUCAGCCUAUACUUUGAGAGAAGCAACAAGACAGUCAACAUAGCGCUCUCUUUUCCAACUGGAACAAAAGGUGCCCAUCGAUAUGAUGUAAGUAUUGAUUUUACCUGAAACCAUAAAUCAACAUAAAUGUUUUUUUCCUUUUCAAUAUGGAGUUAAGGGAAGAAUUUAACUGACCGUAUUUGGCUUAAUUUACGAAAAAAAAUAUCCCAAAUGAAUUAUGUAGGAACAUAGCCAUCUUAUUUUCUAUGAUUGGCUACAGCCUACAAGUACAAUAAAAUCUAAACAUAUAAAUAACUAGCUAAACCCAGCCUAGCUCUGAUCGUACUGGCCUUUACUAUUAAUGAGAUAUCCUUAAAAAAGAUUCCUUCUCAAUGAAGGAAGAGAGGUGCUCAUACCAAGACACAGAGCUAACAUGAACAUAAAAGCCACGAACCCAAAGUUAACUCCAGAACCCCUGCCAUUCUCAUGCUUACCGUUGUUGACUUGAAGGGUUCUUCUUCCAGUAUUACUUUGUAAAAAUCUUCUCCCAGGUCAUCGGCAGCUUGAGGUGCAUCGUUAGCCAUCACAUUAUCUGCAGCAAUGCCACCUACCAGUGCAGCACCUGCUGCAGCGGCGGUUAGUCCAGCGAUUGCAGCAGGACCUGUCAUUCCCAAUGCUAGUGCUCCCAAAGCACCCACGGUUCCUGCACCAACUCCAGCAGCUGUUGCUGUACCUGUUGAUAUAGCAGCUGCUGCAAGUUCUGCGCUCUCCAGCACCCAGAGAAUGAUGGCUGAGUAAUCUAUGAUGCCAAGGUACUUGCUUCUCCAAUCUGAACUAGUAACAGCGUCUGGGUCUUUAACUGGUGCUGCUAAAAUGUUGCUUUCAGAUAGAAUCUUAACUGCUUCUCCUACAGGCGUAUCUGCUAGAAUUUCAAUCACUACCAAGGCAUUUUUCAUGUUAGUGUUUUUGUCCAUGCAGAUCCUUGACUCAAAUUAAAUGCAUAAGAUGACAAUGACUGAAUGAAUUCUUUUAUGUGGUUAAUCGCUUACCUUUUCCGCUAGGAACUUCUGGAAAAGAAGAGACUGGAAUCUUUGCAAAGGCAUCUGUCAAGGUCUCCUGCAAUGACUGUGGUAGCUUCUUUCUAGAUUGUAUGAUUUCGAAAUAGGUCUCACAUUUUGAAAGUGAGUUGCUUGUUCUGAACUCC
Molecule: long non-coding RNA, 1229 nt
Filed under: Phaseolus vulgaris (common bean)
Lineage: Eukaryota; Viridiplantae; Streptophyta; Magnoliopsida; Fabales; Fabaceae
Description: long non-coding RNA (PVUL_LNC004411)
Source: RNAcentral